RNAcentral lists this ribosomal RNA (292 nucleotides) under uncultured Alphaproteobacteria bacterium. RNAcentral describes it as "partial 16S ribosomal RNA". Lineage: Bacteria; Pseudomonadati; Pseudomonadota; Alphaproteobacteria. The record is from RNAcentral.
GGACUACCAGGGUUUCUAAUCCUGUUUGCUCCCCACGCUUUCGCACCUCAGCGUCAAUACCGGUCCAGUGAGCCGCCUUCGCCACUGGUGUUCUUCCGAAUAUCUACGAAUUUCACCUCUACACUCGGAAUUCCACUCACCUCUCCCGGAUUCAAGCGAUGCAGUCUUAAAGGCAAUUCCGGGGUUGAGCCCCGGGCUUUCACCUCUAACUUACAAAGCCGCCUACGUGCGCUUUACGCCCAGUAAUUCCGAACAACGCUAGCUCCCUCCGUAUUACCGCGGCUGCUGGCAC